GGGCGUCUAGCUCAAAUGGUAGAGCGCGUGCUUAGCAUGCACGAGGUACACGGUUCGAUCCCGUGGUCGUCCA
RNAcentral lists this transfer RNA (73 nucleotides) under Cytospora mali. Its description in RNAcentral is "tRNA-Ala (AGC) (tRNA-Ala-AGC-1 1 to 7)". It matches the Rfam family "tRNA". Rfam says of the family: Transfer RNA (tRNA) molecules are approximately 80 nucleotides in length. Their secondary structure includes four short double-helical elements and three loops (D, anti-codon, and T loops). Lineage: Eukaryota; Fungi; Ascomycota; Sordariomycetes; Diaporthales; Cytosporaceae. The record is from RNAcentral.